UGAGGGAAAGGCGAAAAGAACCCCGGCGAGGGGAGUGAAAAAGAACCUGAAACCGUGUACGUACAAGCAGUGGGAGCCCCACCACUAAGCCAGUGGUGAACUCCACAUACGCAUCCUUUGCUGAGGAUACGGUUAACGGAGCGAAAGCGACGUUCAACCGCAAAACAAGCAGAGGGGGCUUAGUGGUGGGGUGACUGCGUACCUUUUGUAUAAUGGGUCAGCGACUUAUAUUCUGUAGCAAGGUUAACCGUAUAGGGGAGCCGUAGGGAAACCGAGUCUUAACCGGGCGUUAAGUUGCAGGGUAUAGACCCGAAACCCGGUGAUCUAGCCAUGGGCAGGUU
Molecule: ribosomal RNA, 341 nt
Filed under: Salmonella enterica subsp. enterica serovar Singapore
Lineage: Bacteria; Pseudomonadati; Pseudomonadota; Gammaproteobacteria; Enterobacterales; Enterobacteriaceae
Description: partial 23S ribosomal RNA
Rfam family: Bacterial large subunit ribosomal RNA
Source: RNAcentral